This is a long non-coding RNA of Juglans regia (Persian walnut), 775 nucleotides long. RefSeq lists it as uncharacterized. The transcript has 2 exons. The record is from RefSeq and is a predicted model, not a curated record. NCBI's taxonomy places the organism in Eukaryota, Viridiplantae, Streptophyta, Magnoliopsida, Fagales, Juglandaceae.
CUCGUCACAAUCCCAGCAAUAUUUCCUCUCUCUCUUCAAUCUCGAUCUAUCAGUUUCACAGUUGUCACCGCAUGCAGCAUAAAGACAUAAAAGACGGUCUCACUCAAUGUCUUAUUCACCUGCCCCUAUUCCACACAUCUCUAGCACCUAGCUCGGCCUUCAUUUAUAUCUCCGACUCAAGCACAGUUUUGCCGAGCGAGCUAAUUCCACACAUUUUGCAAGAGAUCGAUUGCAUAGAUCACUACAAGUGCAGCUAGCGUGCAGUAUCGAAUAUCGUUAAUUUCCAGCACCAUUUGUAUGGCCAGUAGUGCACAAUUAUCACCUCUCAUUGCUCCUAAAAAUUCAGGAAAGGAGGAGCUUCUCUUCUCAGGUGACCCCAAGUUCGGUCUCCAUGCGCCCUCAUGAUCACCCCAAGCUUGCUCAGCCCGAGCUUCCUUGGGCACUUCAACGUCCAUGAAGAUCAUCAGCCAUAUAUACAGAUUUAGCAGCAAGCAUCCAUUGAUGUCAAGAGUUCAUGUGGAGAUCAAUUUGUCUACCUGUAUAAUAACUGCCUGCACUGAACCCAAUUUGUCCAAUUCUUGAGGAACUGCUGCAUGCGUAUUAGGGAUCGAUGUGUAUUUCUAUUUAAGUUGCUAGCUAGCUGGUAUAUACAUAAUUCCCAGCAAGUCGUAAUUUGUUUGUUGCUUUAAGAUUAGUCAUAUUGUUAAUUUCUUUUUGAGAUAGGAGAUAUCAGAGUACUUGUAUCCAAAUGAAUGUGAACCAUUUGAUUUGUAUA